AUUGAACGCUGGCGGCAUGCUUUACACAUGCAAGUCGAACGGCAGCGCGGGCUUCGGCCUGGCGGCGAGUGGCGAACGGGUGAGUAAUGCAUCGGAACGUGCCCAGUAGUGGGGGAUAGCCCGGCGAAAGCCGGAUUAAUACCGCAUACGACCUGAGGGUGAAAGCGGGGGACCGAAAGGCCUCGCGCUAUUGGAGCGGCCGAUGUCGGAUUAGCUAGUUGGUGGGGAAAAGGCUUACCAAGGCGACGAUCCGUAGCUGGUCUGAGAGGACGACCAGCCAAACUGGGACUGAGACACGGCCCAGACUCCUACGGGAGGCAGCAGUGGGGAAUUUUGGACAAUGGGGGGAAACCUGAUCCCGCCAUGCCGCGGGCGGGAAGAAGGCCUUCGGGUUGUAAACCGCUUUUGUUCGGGAAGAAAUCCUCUGGGCUAAUACCCCGGGGGGAUGACGGUACCGGAAGAAUAAGCACCGGCUAACUACGUG
Molecule: ribosomal RNA, 484 nt
Filed under: uncultured bacterium
Lineage: Bacteria
Description: partial 16S ribosomal RNA
Rfam family: Bacterial small subunit ribosomal RNA
Source: RNAcentral